Molecule: transfer RNA, 80 nt
Filed under: Lacrimispora saccharolytica
Lineage: Bacteria; Bacillati; Bacillota; Clostridia; Lachnospirales; Lachnospiraceae
Also listed under: 4 other names
Description: tRNA-Leu
Rfam family: tRNA
About the family: Transfer RNA (tRNA) molecules are approximately 80 nucleotides in length. Their secondary structure includes four short double-helical elements and three loops (D, anti-codon, and T loops). Further hydrogen bonds mediate the characteristic L-shaped molecular structure. tRNAs have two regions of fundamental functional importance: the anti-codon, which is responsible for specific mRNA codon recognition, and the 3' end, to which the tRNAs corresponding amino acid is attached (by aminoacyl-tRNA synthetases). tRNAs cope with the degeneracy of the genetic code in two manners: having more than one tRNA (with a specific anti-codon) for a particular amino acid; and 'wobble' base-pairing, i.e. permitting non-standard base-pairing at the 3rd anti-codon position.
Source: RNAcentral
GCGGAUAUGGCGGAAUUGGCAGACGCGCCAGAUUUAGGUUCUGGUCCGGGAGGGUGCAGGUUCAAGUCCUGUUAUCCGCA